UACAGAGGUGGCAAGCGUUGUUCGGAAUUACUGGGCGUAAAGGGCGCGUAGGCGGCCCGUCAAGUCCCGUGUGAAAGCCCCCGGCUCAACCGGGGAACUGCACGGGAAACUAGCAGGCUUGAGUUCGGGAGAGGGAAGCGGAAUUUCGGGUGUAGCGGUGAAAUGCGCAGAUAUCCGAAGGAACACCGGUGGCGAAGGCGGCUUCCUGGACCGACACUGACGCUGAGGCGCGAAAGCUAGGGGAGCAAACAGG
Molecule: ribosomal RNA, 253 nt
Filed under: uncultured bacterium
Lineage: Bacteria
Description: partial 16S ribosomal RNA
Rfam family: Bacterial small subunit ribosomal RNA
Source: RNAcentral